AAGGAUGUAGCUCAGUGGUACAGCACCUGCCUGGCAAGUGUGAGGUCCUGAGUUCAAUUCCCAGUACCCUAG
RNAcentral lists this transfer RNA (72 nucleotides) under Cavia porcellus (domestic guinea pig). It matches the Rfam family "tRNA". From Rfam's summary of the family: Transfer RNA (tRNA) molecules are approximately 80 nucleotides in length. Their secondary structure includes four short double-helical elements and three loops (D, anti-codon, and T loops). Further hydrogen bonds mediate the characteristic L-shaped molecular structure. tRNAs have two regions of fundamental functional importance: the anti-codon, which is responsible for specific mRNA codon recognition, and the 3' end, to which the tRNAs corresponding amino acid is attached (by aminoacyl-tRNA synthetases). tRNAs cope with the degeneracy of the genetic code in two manners: having more than one tRNA (with a specific anti-codon) for a particular amino acid; and 'wobble' base-pairing, i.e. permitting non-standard base-pairing at the 3rd anti-codon position. Lineage: Eukaryota; Metazoa; Chordata; Mammalia; Rodentia; Caviidae. The record is from Rfam by way of RNAcentral.